Molecule: ribosomal RNA, 491 nt
Filed under: uncultured bacterium
Lineage: Bacteria
Description: partial 16S ribosomal RNA
Rfam family: Bacterial small subunit ribosomal RNA
Source: RNAcentral
GAUGAACGCUGGCUACAGGCUUAACACAUGCGAGUCGAGGGGAAACGACGGGGAAGCUUGCUUCCCCGGGCGUCGACCGGCGCACGGGUGAGUAACGCGUAUCCAACCUGCCUCUGACUGAGGGAUAACCCGUCGAAAGUCGGCCUAAUACCUCAUGGCAUCGUCUGCGGGCAUCCAACGACGAUUAAAGAUUUCAUCGGUCAGAGAUGGGGAUGCGUCUGAUUAGCUUGUUGGCGGGGUGACGGCCCACCAAGGCGACGAUCAGUAGGGGUUCUGAGAGGAAGGUCCCCCACAUUGGAACUGAGACACGGUCCAAACUCCUACGGGAGGCAGCAGUGAGGAAUAUUGGUCAAUGGGCGAGAGCCUGAACCAGCCAAGUAGCGUGCAGGAUGACGGCCCUAUGGGUUGUAAACUGCUUUUAUGCGGGGAUAAAGUGAGGGACGUGUCCUUCAUUGCAGGUACCGCAUGAAUAAGGACCGGCUAAUUCCGUG